UGUCCUGGAACUCACUCUGUAGACCAGGUUGGCCUCGAACUCAGAAAUCCACCUGCCUCUGACUCCCAGAGUGCUGGGAUUACAGGUGUGUGCCACCACCGCCGGGCAAUUUUUUUGUUUGUUUGUUUUUGUUUUUGUUUUUUGAGACAGGCCUCACUUUAGCCCAACUGAAGGCCUCAAGCCUUUUGAGUUCUGGAAUUAUAGGUGUGAGUCAUGCCCAGCUUCACCAACAUCCUUAGGUCAGAAAACUGUGAUGCUCGAUAGUAAAUGUUUAGCUUAUCUUUUUUUUUUUUUUUGGUUUUUGUUUUUUUGAGACAGGGUUUCUCUGUAUAGCCCUGGCUGUCUUGGAACUCACUCUGUAGUUGGCCUCGAACUCAGAAAUCCUCCUGUCUCUGCCUUCCAGAGUGCUGGGAUUACAGGUGACAUGCACUACCACCACCCAGCUGUUUAGCUUAUCUCUUACCCUAGUAAAAUGACUCAGGUCAGAGGCAGGUCCUAAACCAUCUAUACCCUGUGCUGUGCUGCUUUCUGGGGUGUGGUGAGGGAGAGUCCCGGCUCUCACCAGUGGAGUCACUGACGUAACACAGUGUCCCUGCUCACACAUGCACACACAUAGGUGCUGAGGCCAACCACACGCAGACUAGGGGCUGAGAUGCCAGCUCUGGGAACCUGUCUGUUUUCCUGCCUGCCAUGAGUUCUCCACUCCAGCGGCCUUAGCCACUCUCCCUGGUUCUUUGUGUGCCCAGGAACCAACCUGUCCAUGUGCUCUGUUUCAGGGCCUGCACUGGAGGUACGUACUAAGACUAACCGUCAAAGUAUGUUUUUGUGACAACAGUCUGAGGUCAGCCUUAAUGUCAAAAGGACUGCGGCUGGUUGUGAGGAGGGCCAAUAGGAGGCUGUGUCAUUGCAGCUGUGAUUCCUCACUGCUGCUAUUCCUGUUCGCUGGGGGUGGGCAGUGUAGGCCCAAGAGACUGCAAAUCCAUCGUUCUAGUUAAAAAUGAGACCAGGGCCAGAAAGAGCCUUCGCUGUUCAAAGGUGAGAUGACUUAAGGUGGCCUGUGAGCCCAGCCUGGAGCUCUGUACCUGACUUGUUUUGAGAGAGUGACAUUCAUGUUGAUCCCCAUGGUGGCCUCUAGGGUGGCAGGGGAGUGCAGAUGGGCCCUGGGGAUUUGCUUGAGCACCUUUGACCUUGUUCUGUGUCCUGUCAGCACUCUGGGACCCAGGAAACCACUGGAGGCCCACUCACUUCACCCCUGCCUCUGCAUGGCAUCUACCUGCCUUGGUCUGUGCUACCACCAAGGUCUCCUGACAACUGGAACCCAUCCUGCAAACACAGGUCCAGCUCUUUGGCACCCAGGCCUUCUCCUGUCUAUUCUGAGCCAUCCCAAGCUGGAUCCCUGGGCCCGAAGAGCUCAGCCAGCAGGAGGAACUCCACAUCACCCCAUCUUACCCCAACCUACCUAAACUGACAUUGCGCUGUAGAAUGGACCCUUUCCCACAACCAACUGGCCCAGGCACCCAUUCCUACCCAUACCCUGCCGGUGGAUGAGAUUCAUCUACUGGUGGCCUCCAGUAUGGUAAGGAGACCCUUAAAAUUCCAGAUGCUGACCUGUCAGCUCAGGAGGCACCAGGCCUGACCAGUGUGAAGCAGUUGAGCUGUGAGCUAGGCCGGGGAUGGUCCCUGAGUCACCCAUCCAAGCUCGGCGCCCCUAAGACCAGCCCUGCUUGUUCUCACCCUGCUUCUUUGGAUGUAAGAAUCCUGGGACCAAUCCUGGCCCUUUGGUCCCUUUCUCUUGGCAGGACCCUCUUUGUUGGCCACUUAAGUUUCUGGGGCCUGGCAGGCUCUGGCUUUCUCUAAGGAGCUCCUGGAAGACCCGGAGGAGACGCAGUUCAGCAGAUGUGGUCUGGGCUUUUACCUAGGAGGUGGGAUGCAGUCUGGCAGUUCCCAGAGGCCUUUGCAGGACUCUAGGCCAGGCAGUGCUGCUCUGAAUGUCCUAGAACUGGGAUGUUGGUUGCUUCAAGGUGCUCUGGGUCUGUAACCAGGAUGGGCAGUCCAUGGAGAUAUGCUGCAUCAUAUUCUUGCCGAAUAGCUCUGUUCUGGGGGUAUCCUGGAAUGUCUCAUUAGGGACUAAUAUUAGUUGGCUCUGUGGGUACAUGUUCUCAGGGCCCUGUACCCUGAGAAGGGUUCCAGAGUCUUUCCAGGUCCGGCACCCAGGUCCAUAGAGAGCAGGGCCAUACUUAGGGCCUUGGGAAGCUCUUGGUGGCGGGUGUGUGUGUUCAGCAGGCAAUGCCAUUAUGAUAAGAGUUUGGAGUGCUUUGUGAAUAGAGACAACGUUGACAAACUUCCAUCUGAGGUAGGUGGAAAUCUUGGCUCUCCCCACCCGGGGCUGGGGUGGGGUUUCUCCCCCCUGUUGCCCUCCAUUCCCAUUUCUCACUGGUGUUUCACCAGCAUGGGCCUGGCCUUGAGCCCCUGGGGCAAGCCUGACCUGAAGUCCUUUUCUCAGUAGGGGCUUCACAGAGCAUUGUUUCUUCUUCAGCCAGGGAAUCAAGCAGGACAUGGAACAGCACAGGAGAGACCAUAAGCCAAUAGGCGGCAGGAGCCCGAGCUGCAGCCUAGAGUCACGCUUCUGCCUCCCAGCCACACAGUGGCCAAGAGCAGGGACCGGCUUCCUAGAGUGGCUGAAAGUGCUCGGACGGACAGCCAAGCCCAUCAUGGCGGACAGCGGGACAGUGGGUCGCGAUCAGGCACUUGGAGCCAGGCAGGUGAGGGUCCAUGGAAGGGUCAAGGGAGGAGACAAAAGAAAGUCUAUGAGCAGAAUGGAGCCACACCACACCACCACGGGCCCGAAAACCGCCUUGGUUGGUCUCUCACAUCAGGUUCCAUACAGAGGCAGCUUCAAAGACCCCCGCCUAGCCCAGGCCCUUCGUGUCCUGACCACCGUGCCAGGGCUCCGCGGCAAUCCGCCUUAAAUCGGCAUGGUUUAAGGAGCAUGUGGGUUUUUUGUUUUUUUGUUUUCAAUAAGGGGGAAAAAAGCAACAGAAAAAAAAUGUCCACCUAUAACAGGGGCGUGGGGGGGUGCAGCCAGCCCAGAUAGAUCAGAAGCGCCAAAUCCCAUUACUCGGGACUUCAGAGCACAGCCCUGCACAGGCAGCUGCGAUUAAGAGCUUGUCAAUGGAGUCCCCUUUGGAGAUCAAAGGGGCAUGCGAGAGAGAGAGAGAGAGAGAGAGAGAGAGAGAGAGAGAGAGAGAGAGAGAGAGAGAGCACACACGCGUGCACAGCGUACGUGCACAUGUGUGUGUCUGUGUGUGUCAGAGCACAUGCUGCGGGGUGACAGCGGAGGAACCAUGUGCCAUAGUACAGAUGAGCCGUGUGUAUCACCUGCCUCCUGUGGCCACCCUCCAUGUUGCUUCUGUCCUUGCUGCCAUGUAUGACAUGCGUGGAUGCAUCAGGCCAGGCUGGGCAAAAGAGAGGCCUGGUCCCUAAUGCAUCCUCUGGCUAGACCUAGUCCCCAUUUCUGGGCCUCCACCUUUUACUUGGGUCCUGUCCCUUCCCCAAAGUCUACCUGAGGGAGUCUGUAGGAGCUGCUGGGAAGGCGUGCUGGGCCACGGCAGUGGUGACUGUGAGGAUGUGCUGUAUCUGGGGCUGGAUACAGCCAGGUCCUGCUGCCCAUGGGCCAUGAGCUCUCAGCUGGCCUGGUAAAUGCAUCCUGGGGGUUGAAAGCUGCUGUCGAUGUGAUUGGUAGGUUGUUAGGUAAACUCUGAGAAGCAAAUCUUUUAAUCCACUGUGGCUAAUCCAGUGCACUUUUGUUUGCCAAGACAGAUUCUGCGGAAACAAAGGGGCCGGAGGGACCCCAGCAUACAUAAUCACAUACUUAGAACUUGGCCGCCGCUGCCCACAGGGUUCCUAGGCAGCAGAGAGAGACAUCUCAGGACAGCGGUGGAGAGGGUGGGAGAUAGAAGGAGGAGCAUAUGAGAGGGCUGAAGGUGUGCUGGCUACUACCCAUCCUAGGUGAUAGCUUUUCACCUGUCUGGAUAUCCCCUGGCCACCUGCCAGACAGGUGGCUGAUGGGUACUUUGCAAGUUGGUGGGGGCCAACUCAGCAGAGCCAGAUAGAAGGAAAACUAAUACCCACUAACACGGGUGUGAGAGUGCCCGGAGCACGGGCUUACGAAGAUGUAACGAGAAGCUGGGAAGGAUGGCAAAUGACAUGGGAAGGGUGGGAACAGAAGGAGUGAGGUGGCAGUGGGCAGAAGGAGGGCUGGUGUACCCCGACAGGAAGAGGAAGUGGUCUGGGGUGGUGUAGCCAAGUAUGAAAGAACACCUGCAGAGUCUCUUUCAGGCCUGGCACACUCACAAGGGAGAAUAUACUGCCGACCCCGGACAAAUGGUGCUGAGGUUAGGGAGGCCAGUUGGCUCCUUCCUCUACCAGACAUACACCAAGGCAUGGCAGUAGAAUUUAUUCUGCUACUCAAGUCUCGUCCGUGCAAGUUGUGCAUGGACCACUGAGUGAUCCUCACUUUGCCAAAGAGGACACUCAAGACACAGCAAGUAUUUGAGUCUCCAGAGUAGCUGGCGCCAUUCCCUUGUGUUCCCGAGGUUUCCUAGUUGGGGUGGAGGUAGGGGUAAUUGGGCUUGGUAGCAGGCUAUCCUUCCCCGACAGCUUACUGGGCUGAGGGUAUCAAAAAGAGCUAACUUGACCUCACAUCCUCCAUACCUACCUGCUGACGAUGAUCAACUUGCCUGUUACUUUGGUAUCUUCAUUCUCCUUCCUGCUCCAGACGGAUGACUCCCCUUAAGACAGUAGGGAGUCGGACCUCAGUAGGAAGGUGUGAGGUGUACUCUGGGAAGGGUUUAUUUCUUAGGGUCCACUCAAGGGGGAAGAGCUGGCCCAGCACUGCCUUCAUGCCUGUUUGCACUGCUUUCCUGCCUUACUGGCUCUGGACUCCUUUAGGCUGGCAGGGAAAUGGUGUGCUGGACAGAGGAGGACAUGGCUGUGAGGACCUCUGGAGUCUAACCCAGGGGAGAAGCAUGCUGCCACCUGAUUGGGCCUGGAACACAUAAUAGUCCAAAGGGCACAAACGGUGGCCACAGUGUCCAUCUCCGAAGUGACCGUGCUAGUAAGGCAGAAUAACUCCUUCUCUACUCCACUGUGGAUGGACACCUCUUACCUGGGAGGGAAAGGCAGACACUCGGCCAUCACAGCAUUUUGAAGCAGGAGCUAUCGGAACAGUCCAUUGUAAUGCUGGCUGGCAUAUAACCUAUUAUUUAGAAAUCUCAAUAAUGGUUAACACUGCAGCCACGUUGAACCAUAUCAUUUAGGACAGUCAUGCUCCUCCUGUUGGGCGAAAUACAAACACCAAGGGUAAUAAUGCAAGGUGCCAGCUCAGAACACACAUCACCAGGGGAUACAAGGGGAGGAGAAACUUGGGGCCAGCAGCAAAAUGGCUCAGCAGGUGAAAGAGCUUGCGGCUGACAGCCCCAGUUCAAUCCCAAGGACACACGUGUAGAAGAAGAGAAUCAACCUCCAGAAGUUGUGCUUUGACUUCUACAUAUAGACCCUGGCUAGCUUGUGCCCAAAUACAUUAAAAAAUAAAUAAAUUCGGUCAUGGGUCUUGCCUGUGCCAGGGUGGCUGCUGGCACAGAGUUAAGGCCUCCUGCCCUACCCUGGAGUGAGCACAGGAGCACCUUAGCUAACACCGCCCACGAGCAGUUAGCACACCUUGCUAUUAUGUCAUUCCUAUUCCUUAUACACUGAUGUCACUGGGAGGUGGCAGCUACUGCAGAAUGGUUGAGGCUUCCACUUCGUGGUCAUGCUAAUAUUACAGCAGCAUGCUUCUUUUUUUUUUGUUUGAUUUUUUUCAAGACAGUUUCUCUGUAUAACAGCCCUGGCUCUCCUGGAACUCGCUUUGUAGACCAGGCUAACUUUGAACUCACAGAGAUUCGCCUGUCUCUGCCUCCCAAGUGCCGGGGUUAAAGGCACAUGUCACCACAACCAGCUCUGCCGCACUUUCAUCAAGAAUAAAAUAGGCCGGGAGAGGUGGUUAACAGCACUGACUGCUCUUCCAGAGGACUCGGGUUCAAAUCCCAGCACCCAUAAGGCAGCUCACACCUGUCUAUAACUCCAAAAUUUGAUACCUUUACACAGACAUACUACAUGCAGAC
This is a long non-coding RNA of Apodemus sylvaticus (European woodmouse), 6161 nucleotides long. RefSeq lists it as uncharacterized. The transcript has 3 exons. Lineage: Eukaryota; Metazoa; Chordata; Mammalia; Rodentia; Muridae. The record is from RefSeq and is a predicted model, not a curated record.